ACGAAACUUAUAUCUCAUUUUCAUGGCUGGCGCAAUAGGAAAGUCAAGCAUGUCUUGCCCUGUCAUUGAAAUAACAUUAAACUUUGCACGAACCAUCUCAAUCCAUUCUGUAUAAUGUUGCACUUCCCCUUUCUUUCUUUUCAUCCUUUCAGUUAAUCCAAAAUGUCUAUCACAGGGCAAGAAACUGUGUCUCCGUAUUGAAAAAUGGUGAACUAUCUUCAUAAAUCAUCCCAUCUUGAUCAGUGUCGAGAAGAAAGCUACCAUACAGUGAUUUUUAUUUUGACCUGCUGCCCCACUACUGAAAAUAUAAUGUUUCUACACUGCUAUCAAUCUUCUCAUUUAUGUAUUUAUUUAAACAACUCGCUACUUCAUUUUCACAUCUCUCACCCUGCGUUUCUGGUCACAUAAACAUUGUUGAUUUUUUCAAUUUACUACUAUCGACUUCAAACGUAUGUAACCAUAACUGUCGCAAAUAGAACAUCUCCCCUAUAGGUAAAUAUGGGUAUGGAAUAUUUUGCAUGAACUGAAAGCAAAGCAUUUCAACCUUAGUGUUCUCUUGAGCCUCUUUCUAGUAUUGCUUCAGCUUUGUAUAAAUAAACUAGCCUUUAUUUUAUGCACAUUUAGUUGGUUCUGUAAAUUUUACCUCACAGCUAUAUUCUUUUCUGAGAGGAUGUUUGCUUUC
This 682-nucleotide long non-coding RNA is filed under the name Androctonus crassicauda. Lineage: Eukaryota; Metazoa; Arthropoda; Arachnida; Scorpiones; Buthidae. The record is from RNAcentral.